This 295-nucleotide ribosomal RNA is filed under the name uncultured bacterium. RNAcentral's name for it is "partial 16S ribosomal RNA". It matches the Rfam family "Bacterial small subunit ribosomal RNA", at positions 775 to 1067 of the family's 1533-position model. The record is from RNAcentral.
GGAUUAGAUACCCUGGUAGUCCACGCCCUAAACGAUGAGAACUAGCCGUUGGGGGUAUUUGAAACCUUUAGUGGCGCAGCUAACGCGAUAAGUUCUCCGCCUGGGGAGUACGGCCGCAAGGUUAAAACUCAAAGGAAUUGACGGGGGCCCGCACAAGCGGUGGAGCAUGUGGUUUAAUUCGAUGCAACGCGAAGAACCUUACCUGCCUUUGACAUCCUCGGAACCUUCCAGAGAUGGUUGGGUGCCUUCGGGAACCGAGUGACAGGUGCUGCAUGGCUGUCGUCAGCUCGUGCCG